AGCAGCCUGAAUUUCCCCUAAAUACAACAACUUCACCAAAUUCAUAAAGCGACGCCGGAAGGUUGGUAUGUGUGUCAUGAAGGUCACAAUGCCCUCCAAUCUUCUAAUUAUGCCCUGCAAUUGUGCCCUUCUGACAUGGUCAUUAGAUGGAAAUCCAGAGUCAUCCCAAUCCUCAGGAUUUUCAUUUUUGGACCUUAUAAUUAACC
RNAcentral lists this unclassified non-coding RNA (206 nucleotides) under Hevea brasiliensis (rubber tree). The record is from RNAcentral. Lineage: Eukaryota; Viridiplantae; Streptophyta; Magnoliopsida; Malpighiales; Euphorbiaceae.